GGCGCUUCACACCCACCUAGAGGAGCCUGUUCUGGAACCGAUAACCCCCGUUCAACCUCACCUUCUCUUGUUCUUUCCAGCCUAUAUACCGCCGUCGUCAGCCCACCCUGUGAAGGGCCAGCAGUGAGCAAAACUGGCACAGCCCAAAACGUCAGGUCAAGGUGUAGCGCAUGAGAAGGGAAGAAAUGGGCUACAAUUGCUAAAACAGCUAAAACGAAUUGUGUCGAUGAAACGCGCACAUGAAGGAGGAUUUAGAAGUAAGGGGCAAGCAGAGUGUCCCCCUGAAAUGGUUCUGAAGCGUGCACACACCGCCCGUCACUCUCCCCAAGUAAGACAGCAUAAUUAACUAAACAAUUUAAGUUACAAAGGGGAGGCAAGUCGUAACAUGGUAAGUGUACCGGAAGGUGUACUUGGCAAAAAU
RNAcentral lists this ribosomal RNA (421 nucleotides) under Phaeoptyx pigmentaria (dusky cardinalfish). RNAcentral's name for it is "partial 12S ribosomal RNA". It matches the Rfam family "Bacterial small subunit ribosomal RNA", at positions 915 to 1533 of the family's 1533-position model. Lineage: Eukaryota; Metazoa; Chordata; Actinopteri; Kurtiformes; Apogonidae. The record is from RNAcentral.